Molecule: long non-coding RNA, 396 nt
Filed under: Mytilus galloprovincialis (Mediterranean mussel)
Lineage: Eukaryota; Metazoa; Mollusca; Bivalvia; Mytilida; Mytilidae
Source: RNAcentral
CAAUUCUCUAUGCAGAAUUUGAAACGACCACUUUUUUUUUGCGUCCAGUAGCAUCGUAUUUUCUCGCAUAAUGCAUGGACAUCGGUGGACAUGCUACAUUACACAGUGUGACACGUUUACAAAUGAAAAUCAACACUCAGACUAGUCAUUAAGUAGGACAAUAAAUGAACAAAAGACAAACCGGGACACAGAAGUACAAACAAUAGACCAUCAACUCUGAAAACCAAAAGUAAAAUAGAAACAUGGAUUACGAAAAAUAUGCAGGGGCGACAUCAGAGAGUGAAGAGAACUUGCUUCUUGCAAGACACUUUCAGUGAAAACAAUUUGAUAUGAAGACAAUAUUUUGUUUUAGUUUGUAUUUUUUUAUGAAAUUUUAAACAUGAGGCAUUUGCCUCA